UUGGAACCACGGGAAAGAUCGAAAAGGAUCAUCACCGGAUAGGUUGGAAGAGUCAUCGGUGGCUUUGACCACGAUAUGAUGGCGAGAAGAACGAGAUGAUGAGAAAUUGAAUGAGGAUCUGAAAAGCGGGGAGAGAGGAGAUGAUAGCGUGGAACGAGAAAUUGAUGCAAGAGAAGAAGGGAAUCUGAAUCUUGAGGAGAUGAUAGCGGUGGAAGAAGCCCUAGCAAUGGCGGUGGAGUUUCAACGGCGACCAAGCACCCCUUUCUUCUCUCCUCCAUCGCGUUUUCUCUCUCCCUCGAGCUCUCUUUCACCGGCGCUCGACAGCGGUGGAGCCAUAUGCGGCGUCGUCGUUUCUUUCCUUCCUUCCCCUCUCCUCUCUUCUUCUCUUCUUCUUCCUGUGCUCCCCUUUUCUGAUUUCUUCUCUUUCGUGUGUGUG
This 436-nucleotide long non-coding RNA is filed under the name Arachis ipaensis. RNAcentral's name for it is "long non-coding RNA (AIPA_LNC002208)". Lineage: Eukaryota; Viridiplantae; Streptophyta; Magnoliopsida; Fabales; Fabaceae. The record is from RNAcentral.